This 969-nucleotide non-coding RNA is filed under the name Gallinago gallinago (common snipe). Its description in RNAcentral is "12S ribosomal RNA". It matches the Rfam family "Bacterial small subunit ribosomal RNA". RNAcentral also lists the same sequence under 2 other names. The record is from RNAcentral. Lineage: Eukaryota; Metazoa; Chordata; Aves; Charadriiformes; Scolopacidae.
CUUAGUCCUAACCUUACCGUUAAUUUUUGCUAAAUAUAUACAUGCAAGUAUCCGCGCCCCAGUGUAAAUGCCCUUGAAUCUCCCAUUAAGGAAAAAAGGAGCAGGUAUCAGGCACACCAAUUGUAGCCCAAGACGCCUUGCUUAGCCACACCCCCACGGGUACUCAGCAGUAAUUAACAUUAAGCAAUAAGUGAAAACUUGACUUAGUUAUAGCAAUUUAAGGGUUGGUAAAUCUUGUGCCAGCCACCGCGGUCACACAAGAGACCCAAAUUAACCUCAUGCGGCGUAAAGAGUGGCAUCAUGCUAUCACAACAACUAAGACCGAAGUGCAGUCAAGCUGUCAUAAGCUCAAAAUGUACCUAAGACCUUCCUCGAUCUUAGUGACCCUGAUUAAUUUAAUCCCACGAAAGCUAAGACACAAACUGGGAUUAGAUACCCCACUAUGCUUAGCCCUAAAUCUCGAUGCUUUUCCUAAUACUAAAGCAUCCGCCCGAGAACUACGAGCACAAACGCUUAAAACUCUAAGGACUUGGCGGUGCUCUAAACCCACCUAGAGGAGCCUGUUCUAUAAUCGAUAACCCACGUUAACACCCGACCGUCCCUUGCCAUAAAACAGCCUACAUACCGCCGUCGCCAGCUCACCUCCUCUGAGAGUUCAACAGCGAGCACAAUAGCCCAAACCCGCUAAUAAGACAGGUCGAGGUAUAGCCCACGGGACGGAAGAAAUGGGCUACAUUUUCUAACAGUAGACAAAUUCACGGAAGGGGGCAUGAAACUGCCCCCCGAAGGCGGAUUUAGCAGUAAAGGGGGACAAUAUAUGCCCCCUUUAAACUGGCCCUGGAGCACGUACAUACCGCCCGUCACCCUCCUCACAAGCUACAUUAUUCAUAAUACUUUAAUAUUAAUCCUGAGCUGAAGAUGAGGUAAGUCGUAACAAGGUAAGUGUACCGGAAGGUGUACUUAGCAUAC